Molecule: ribosomal RNA, 508 nt
Filed under: uncultured bacterium
Lineage: Bacteria
Description: bacterial SSU rRNA
Rfam family: Bacterial small subunit ribosomal RNA
Source: RNAcentral
GGUUCAGGAUGAACGCUAGCUACAGGCUUAACACAUGCAAGUCGAGGGGCAGCAUUGGGAUAGCUUGCUAUUCAGAUGGCGACCGGCGCACGGGUGAGUAACGCGUAUCCAACCUUCCUGCCAGUAGGGAACAGCCCGGCGAAAGUCGGAUUAAUGCCCUAUGUUCUUCAAUGCGGACAUCUAAGUUGAAGGAAAGAUUCAUCGCUGGCAGAUGGGGAUGCGUCCGAUUAGCUUGCCGGCGGGGUAACGGCCCACCGGGGCGACGAUCGGUAGGGGUUCUGAGAGGAAGGUCCCCCACACUGGUACUGAGACACGGACCAGACUCCUACGGGAGGCAGCAGUGAGGAAUAUUGGUCAAUGGGCGUAAGCCUGAACCAGCCAAGUAGCGUGCAGGAAUGACGGCCCUACGGGUUGUAAACUGCUUUUAUGCGGGGAUAAAGUGCGGCACGUGUGCCGCUUUGCAGGUACCGCAUGAAUAAGGACCGGCUAAUUCCGUGCCAGCAGCCGC